This 600-nucleotide ribosomal RNA is filed under the name Citrobacter farmeri. RNAcentral describes it as "bacterial SSU rRNA". It matches the Rfam family "Bacterial small subunit ribosomal RNA", at positions 42 to 630 of the family's 1533-position model. Lineage: Bacteria; Pseudomonadati; Pseudomonadota; Gammaproteobacteria; Enterobacterales; Enterobacteriaceae. The record is from RNAcentral.
GCGGGCGCGACUACCAUGCAGUCGAACGGUAACAGGAAGCAGCUUGCUGCUUCGCUGACGAGUGGCGGACGGGUGAGUAAUGUCUGGGAAACUGCCCGAUGGAGGGGGAUAACUACUGGAAACGGUAGCUAAUACCGCAUAAUGUCGCAAGACCAAAGAGGGGGACCUUCGGGCCUCUUGCCAUCGGAUGUGCCCAGAUGGGAUUAGCUUGUUGGUGAGGUAACGGCUCACCAAGGCGACGAUCCCUAGCUGGUCUGAGAGGAUGACCAGCCACACUGGAACUGAGACACGGUCCAGACUCCUACGGGAGGCAGCAGUGGGGAAUAUUGCACAAUGGGCGCAAGCCUGAUGCAGCCAUGCCGCGUGUAUGAAGAAGGCCUUCGGGUUGUAAAGUACUUUCAGCGGGGAGGAAGGGGAUGUGGUUAAUAACCGCAUUCAUUGACGUUACCCGCAGAAGAAGCACCGGCUAACUCCGUGCCAGCAGCCGCGGUAAUACGGAGGGUGCAAGCGUUAAUCGGAAUUACUGGGCGUAAAGCGCACGCAGGCGGUCUGUCAAGUCGGAUGUGAAAUCCCCGGGCUCAACCUGGGAACUGCAUUCGA